This 299-nucleotide signal recognition particle RNA is filed under the name Zalophus californianus (California sea lion). Its description in RNAcentral is "Metazoan signal recognition particle RNA (ENSZCAG00015020013.1)". It matches the Rfam family "Metazoan signal recognition particle RNA". Rfam says of the family: The signal recognition particle (SRP) is a universally conserved ribonucleoprotein. It is involved in the co-translational targeting of proteins to membranes. The eukaryotic SRP consists of a 300-nucleotide 7S RNA and six proteins: SRPs 72, 68, 54, 19, 14, and 9. Lineage: Eukaryota; Metazoa; Chordata; Mammalia; Carnivora; Otariidae. The record is from RNAcentral.
GCCAGGUGCGGUGGCGUGCGCCUGUAGUCCCAGCGACUCGGGAGACUGAGGCAGGAGGAUCACUUGAGCCCAGGAGUUCUGGGCUGUAGUGCGCUAUGCCGAUUGGGUGUCCGCACUAAGUUCGGCAUCAGUAUGGUGACUUCCCGGGAGCAGGGGACCACCAAGUUGCCUAAGGAGGGAUGAACUGGCCCAGGUCAGAAAACACAACUGUUCAAAGUCUUUGAGAUGCAGCAAAGGCAGUCCUAAGAGGAAAGUAUAUAGCAACACAAGCCUUUCUCAAGAAAUAAGAAAGGUCUCAA